RNAcentral lists this long non-coding RNA (320 nucleotides) under Homo sapiens (human). RNAcentral's name for it is "HSALNT0089587". Lineage: Eukaryota; Metazoa; Chordata; Mammalia; Primates; Hominidae. The record is from RNAcentral.
AGGGCCUAUUCACGUUUCCUGGAGACGCCGGAGGUGCCCAGCUUGUGCUCACCACUCAAGCAGCUCUCCCCUUGCUGGAGGUACCGAAUUGGCAUGGAUUUGACAAUUAGCGAUUCACGGUUAAGCAGACUUUAUCUAUCUUAAUCCAAUCAAAGGAGAAUUUCUGCCUGCUGUGUUUGGAGAGACAACGCGUGGAUGUGAGUUAAACUUUGUUAAACCCAGGACAAGCUUUAAGAUAAAACGACUGAUAUUUAAAAUGGCAAUUUAAAUAAAAAUGUUCUCUGAUCAGCCUUUUUGUGGUCUUAACCAUGAAAUGUCUU